This 35-nucleotide ribosomal RNA is filed under the name Lodderomyces parapsilosis. RNAcentral's name for it is "Candida parapsilosis partial 18S ribosomal RNA". Lineage: Eukaryota; Fungi; Ascomycota; Pichiomycetes; Serinales; Debaryomycetaceae. The record is from RNAcentral.
UUCCUUCCGUAGGUGAACCUGCGGAAGGAUCAUUA